UGGGGAAUUUUCCGCAAUGGGUGAAAGCCUGACGGAGCAAUACCGCGUGAGGGAGGAAGGCUUUUGGGUUGUAAACCUCUUUUCUCAGGGAAGAAGAUUCUGACGGUACCUGAGGAAUCAGCAUCGGCUAACUCCGUGCCAGCAGCCGCGGUAAGACGGAGGAUGCAAGCGUUAUCCGGAAUUAUUGGGCGUAAAGCGUCCGUAGGUGGUCGUUCAAGUCUGUUGUCAAAGGCCGCAGCUCAACUGUGGAUGCGCGAUGGAAACUGAAUGACUAGAGUGUGGUAGGGGUAGAGGGAAUUCCUAGUGUAGCGGUGAAAUGCGUAGAUAUUAGGAAGAACACCAGUGGCGAAGGCGCUCUACUGGGCCAUAACUGACACUGAUGGACGAAAGCUAGGGGAGCGAAAGGGAUUAGAUACCCCGGUAGUCC
This 427-nucleotide ribosomal RNA is filed under the name uncultured prokaryote. RNAcentral's name for it is "bacterial SSU rRNA". It matches the Rfam family "Bacterial small subunit ribosomal RNA", at positions 355 to 796 of the family's 1533-position model. The record is from RNAcentral.